UACGGAGGGUGCAAGCGUUAUCCGGAUUCACUGGGUUUAAAGGGUGCGUAGGUGGGCAUGUAAGUCAGUGGUGAAAUCUCCGUGCUUAACAUGGAAACUGCCAUUGAUACUAUGUUUCUUGAAUUUUCUGGAGGUUAGCGGAAUAUGUCAUGUAGCGGUGAAAUGCUUAGAUAUGACAUAGAACACCAAUUGCGAAGGCAGCUAGCUACAGGGAUAUUGACACUGAGGCACGAAAGCGUGGGGAUCAAACAGG
This 253-nucleotide ribosomal RNA is filed under the name uncultured bacterium. RNAcentral describes it as "partial 16S ribosomal RNA". It matches the Rfam family "Bacterial small subunit ribosomal RNA", at positions 524 to 776 of the family's 1533-position model. The record is from RNAcentral.